UUUAUUUGAGAGUUUGAUCCUGGCUCAGGAUGAACGCUGGCGGCGUGCCUAACACAUGCAAGUUGAGCGAUUUACUUCGGUAAAGAGCGGCGGACGGGUGAGUAACGCGUGGGUAACCUACCCUGUACACACGGAUAACAUACCGAAAGGUAUGCUAAUACGGGAUAACAUAUUUGAGAGGCAUCUCUUAAAUAUCAAAGGUGAGCCAGUACAGGAUGGACCCGCGUCUGAUUAGCUAGUUGGUAAGGUAACGGCUUACCAAGGCGACGAUCAGUAGCCGACCUGAGAGGGUGAUCGGCCACAUUGGAACUGAGACACGGUCCAAACUCCUACGGGAGGCAGCAGUGGGGAAUAUUGCACAAUGGGCGAAAGCCUGAUG
This 379-nucleotide ribosomal RNA is filed under the name Clostridioides difficile. RNAcentral's name for it is "bacterial SSU rRNA". It matches the Rfam family "Bacterial small subunit ribosomal RNA", at positions 1 to 388 of the family's 1533-position model. Lineage: Bacteria; Bacillati; Bacillota; Clostridia; Peptostreptococcales; Peptostreptococcaceae. The record is from RNAcentral.